Molecule: transfer RNA, 74 nt
Filed under: Podarcis lilfordi (Lilford's wall lizard)
Lineage: Eukaryota; Metazoa; Chordata; Lepidosauria; Squamata; Lacertidae
Description: tRNA.Arg
Rfam family: tRNA (bases 6-63)
About the family: Transfer RNA (tRNA) molecules are approximately 80 nucleotides in length. Their secondary structure includes four short double-helical elements and three loops (D, anti-codon, and T loops). Further hydrogen bonds mediate the characteristic L-shaped molecular structure. tRNAs have two regions of fundamental functional importance: the anti-codon, which is responsible for specific mRNA codon recognition, and the 3' end, to which the tRNAs corresponding amino acid is attached (by aminoacyl-tRNA synthetases). tRNAs cope with the degeneracy of the genetic code in two manners: having more than one tRNA (with a specific anti-codon) for a particular amino acid; and 'wobble' base-pairing, i.e. permitting non-standard base-pairing at the 3rd anti-codon position.
Source: RNAcentral
UACAGUAGCUCAGUUUGUAGAGCAUGAGACUCCUAAUCUUAGGGUUGUAGGUUCGAGCCCCACGUUGGGCAAAA